Molecule: small nucleolar RNA, 139 nt
Organism: Cyclopterus lumpus (lumpfish)
Lineage: Eukaryota; Metazoa; Chordata; Actinopteri; Perciformes; Cyclopteridae
Source: Ensembl
CCUCCUUUCUUGGCAUACUCGUUGUUUUCCUGUGCACGUGUGUGUGUAUGUGAUGGAGGAACAAGAAAGUCCAGUGCUAUGUCUUCGGUGCCAGAAAGUCAACAUUCUUCUGGUUCUAUCCUCAAUCGCUGGCACAUUU